RNAcentral lists this unclassified non-coding RNA (3348 nucleotides) under Leishmania donovani. RNAcentral describes it as "gene:LdHU3.24.1670(CDS-product:IQ_calmodulin-bind ing_motif_containing_protein_putative)". The record is from RNAcentral. Lineage: Eukaryota; Euglenozoa; Kinetoplastea; Trypanosomatida; Trypanosomatidae.
CUGCCGACGGAGCCCUCAUCAGUUCUUGAGUAGGCUGCUCGUUGCAUAUCAUGGACGCCACGCACGAUCGCCCACCCGCGGGGUCGGCGGCUGUAUCUGUGCAUGCCGCCUUCGGUAGCUUCUCACAAGCCCGCGAGCUUACAAUGGCUCGGGAGCAACCAUUGCUCGCACUCAAGGCGUACAGCACGUGGAUGCGAAGGAGGAGGGUAGGCGCAUCGGCGCGGGCUGCGGCACUCCUGGACUUUACGCUCUACUGCAACAUGUUUGCCUUGCAGAUCUGGGAAACGGAGGAUGUCCGCCCUGACGCACCACUUGCUCUCGCUCGUGACUACUUCCAGCUUGUCAUGGACGAGUUCAGUGCGCUCUACAAAGUUGUGCUGCCCGACCUCGACGCACCAGAGACCGAUGCCGACUUGGCCUCGAUGCCUAUCUUGGAUGCGAAGACAGAUUCGGUUCCUGGCGGGCUGUGGGCGGCGCUCUUGCUCACUAUAGGCAAUCAGGCGUGCGUGGAGCUGCGUGCUGGUGGAGACGGUGUCGCGAAAGCGGAGCGGCUUUUCCUCCUUAGCAGACAGCUGGAGGGGCAGAUGAGCGACGUGCCGAGUCUCGGGUGGACGUGGAGGAUUGUCCGAGACCUCAAUGCAGCUGUUUGCGCGGUCAUGCACUGCGACUUUUCUCAAGGAGAAGAGGCUGCCCGGAGCGCCCUCGCACUCCUGGAAACGCACAUAGAAGACGAAUCCGCGGAUGCACUUUCCAGUGAAUCAGUUGAUGAGAAUGGAUACGCCCCACACACAUCCCUGCUGCUGGCCCUGACUCACUACACACUAGGUGUUGCCACAGAGAACACUUCGUGCGAGUCGUCUCUCUUAGACUACGAUCGCGCAAUCGCACUAGCCUCCGAGGGCGACACAGGCUCAUCCCUCGCGGCCUUGAUGAGUCGAGCCAGAAACCGACUCGCGGUGUAUGUAGAGGAGCGGCAGGCUAAGGCGACGCUCCAGGCAGAAGAGGCGGCAGGCGCAGCGAACGCCGAGAAGAAAGGUCGCACGGCCUCGCGACUCAAAACUGGAAAGGCGACGUCCUCUCGCCGCGCACCGCAGAAGGCUGAAAAUCCUCGCUUCUCGCAAUCGGAACAGGGCCUGCCCCCCAUCGUGACCCCGUCAAUCCCAGACGUUCUCCAAGGCUAUCUUGAGAAGGAGGGGCUAACCACCACAUUGGUACGCGUUGGCGCCUUGAAAGAUCUCUAUGAAGUAUUGGCCAGGUCGCUUCCCGGAUACGAGGACUGCGAAGCGCUUCCACAGUCCCUCUUCGCCGGAACCCGCUUCGAGGCUGGCGCCCACGAGUCUAUCUUCGCCGUCCUCUUCUGCACCGACACACCUUUGCAGUGGACGUUACGGCUCCUCGAUGCGGCAGGGAACCCUGUCGCCCUCCGCCACUCUGUGUGGGCACCACGCCCGGUGCUAGCUUCGCUGCUCAUGGAGAUGGCUGCGCAACGUCCGCCUGCACCGCGGAGCACCGCGGCCCUCCAAACCCGCAAAGAAAUUUCCGACGGUAACGGAAAGUUGCGCCAGCAAGUCAUUCAAAUGUUUGCCCCGCCGGCGGCAGCUCCAACUGUGAAGCAGAAGGCCCAUGAGUGGGUAGACGCUGCUGUGGAGCUGCUUGGACAGCGCUUGAGCCUCCUCCUCAAAACGGAGCGUGCCUUUGAGGAGCAGUGGAUCGCGACGGAGCGCAUUCAAUCCGCUUUGCACACCUUUGCCGUUCCGCAAGACAUCCUGCGUGUGAAGCAGGAACUGCUGAAGGAAAAGCAUCUGCAGGAGCGCCGGCAGGAUCGGAGUGCGCGCCUCAUCGUGCACUUUUUUCGACACAUCGUCAAGCAGCGAACCCUCGGUGCGGAGCAGACGCUCGUGAGGCGGCAUCGCUUUGAGGAGAGGGUGGCGGCCGCGGUGACUCUGCAGAAGUACAUACGUCGCUGGUGCGCCUAUCAGGAAAUGGGGCGCCGCCUUGCAGCGCGCAAAGAGUACGUCGAGAAGAUUAUCCGGUUGCAGAGUCUCGCGCGACGGAGAGCGGCGGCGCGCGCUUACGCGGAGCUGCGCGAGUCGAGGCGCAAGGAGGACCUCAUUAAAACACACCUCAUCCUCUUUUCGUGCGCCGCUCUUCAAAUUCAACGAAUGUAUCGCGGGCAUUGUGCUCGACUGCGCUGCUAUCAUCUUCGCGGACAGAUGCACGCCGCCACGCUGCAUCACAUGCGAGACUCACGUAACUACUACGCCACCGUCAUUCAGAAGUGCGUGCGUGGAAUGCUAGCGCGAUGCCAGUAUGGGCGAGCCGUGUAUGCGAGCCGCUGCUACGGCCGAAACGCCUACAAGACACAGCUUUGGGAGCGCAGCUGCGUGGUAAUUCAGCGCGCCUACCGCGCAUGCCGCUCGCGCCGCAGGCUCGCCGGCUAUAGAGCUGCACCACAGAUUUGCGGUGGCCCACAGCUAAGUGGGCCCAGCACUGCAUUUUCGAGACACUUUGUGCGUGUUCACACCGAUGGUGCAGUGACGGCGGACAAGAAGCAGGCGGUCGCAGCGAACAGGAUCCAGAAGAUGUAUCGCUCUUGUGCCGCGAAGCGGCGACUGGAAGCUCUCAAGUACGCUCGAAGGAAGGAACUGGAGGCGAGGGAGGAGCAACCGCAAUGGGGCGCGCGAUCAACCUUCUCGCUGAAAGAUUGCGUCUUUUGAGGCAUCAUUAUUCACCCAAGUCUGCCGUUUCUCGCUACCCCCACCCCACUUUUCACACAUACCUACAUACCUUCGGACAUCCGCCCUGACGGGUCUCGUAUGGGCGUGCGUGUGUAUGUGUGCGUGGCGGUGCUUCAUGUACCAUAAUCGGGAUGUAGGCGUUGUCCGUCUUUCCCUUUCACGUUUUUCUUUUCGUUUGUUCGCUGGAACAUUGGCUCCCGUACCUUUUUGUUUUAUGUUGUCGAUUGGCUUUCUUGCUUUGUGUCGUCCGUGUAGCGUGGGCAUGCUUGCGUCUGUGCACGUCAUCGACGCCCAAAAAGAAACCGCCGCAGACAACUACGAACAGAAGCGCGUAGAAAGGGGAAAGGAGUGAAGGAUCAUUAGCCGUAGUACUCAUACGUAGAUGCCACCACCCCCUCCCACACAUGCUGCUAUCGCUCAUGUGUUGUUCGGACGCGCUUUCGCACCCCACCUGCACUGGCGACGGCCGUGGACCAUUUACUGUCGCUUUUUAUGCUCUGGUGCGUCCACACGGUCCCCAUCUCCCUCUCGCUACCGCUCCAUUCUUUUGUCGCUUCCCGUGGUCGCUCGUCGCUGAUGUCGUGGGACGCCUCCGUGCGUGGUAUCGCAG